Orycteropus afer afer is the source of this 381-nucleotide non-coding RNA. NCBI's taxonomy places the organism in Eukaryota, Metazoa, Chordata, Mammalia, Tubulidentata, Orycteropodidae. The record is from the annotation of a RefSeq genome assembly.
AUGAACUCUUCUCUAGGAUCAAUGAUUGUGUUAUUCUUAUUAUUUGGAGGAAAUGAUGGAGACACAGUGACCCAGACAAAAGGCCAAGUGACCCUCUCUGAAGGGGAUUUUCUGACUGUGAACUGCUCCUAUACAGCCACACAGUACCCUGCCCUUUUCUGGUAUGUCCAAUAUCCCGACAAAGGUCUGCAGCUUCUCCUGAAAGCCACAAAGGCCAAUGACAAAGGAAGCAACAAAGGUUUUGAAGCCACAUACGAUAAACAAACAUCUUCCUUCCAUCUGGAGAAAGCCUCAGUCCAAGUGUCAGACUCGGCUGUGUACUAUUGUGCCCUGAGUGACACAGUGACAGGAACUGCAGAGGGAGCUGAGUACAAACUCUGA